RNAcentral lists this ribosomal RNA (255 nucleotides) under uncultured bacterium. RNAcentral describes it as "partial 16S ribosomal RNA". It matches the Rfam family "Bacterial small subunit ribosomal RNA", at positions 524 to 776 of the family's 1533-position model. The record is from RNAcentral.
UACGUAGGGUGCAAGCGUUUAAUCGGAAUUACUGGGCGUAAAGCGUGCGCAGGCGGUUAUGUAAGACAGAUGUGAAAUGCCCGGGCUUAACCUGGGAACUGCAUUUGUGACUGCAUGGCUAGAGUUUGGCAGAGGGGGGUAGAAUUCCACGUGUAGCAGUGAAAUGCGUAGAUAUGUGGAGGAACACCGAUGGCGAAGGGCAGCCCCCUGGGUCAAGACUGACGCUCAUGCACGAAAGCGUGGGGAGCAAACAGG